AUUGAACGCUGGCGGCAUGCCUUACACAUGCAAGUCGAACGGCAGCGGACCUUCGGGUGCCGGCGAGUGGCGAACGGGUGAGUAAUAUAUCGGAACGUACCUUUCAGUGGGGGAUAACGUAGCGAAAGUUACGCUAAUACCGCAUAUUCUGUGAGCAGGAAAGCAGGGGAUCGCAAGACCUUGCGCUGAUUGAGCGGCCGAUAUCAGAUUAGCUAGUUGGUGAGGUAAAGGCUCACCAAGGCGACGAUCUGUAGCGGGUCUGAGAGGAUGAUCCGCCACACUGGAACUGAGACACGGUCCAGACUCCUACGGGAGGCAGCAGUGGGGAAUUUCGGACAAUGGGCGCAAGCCUGAUCCAGCCAUGCCGCGUGCAGGAAGACGGCCCUAUGGGUUGUAAACUGCUUUUAUACAGGAAUAAACCCCUCUACGUGUAGAGGGCUGAAGGUACUGUAAGAAUAAGCACCGGCUAACUCCGUGCCAGCAGCCG
Molecule: ribosomal RNA, 487 nt
Filed under: uncultured bacterium
Lineage: Bacteria
Description: bacterial SSU rRNA
Rfam family: Bacterial small subunit ribosomal RNA
Source: RNAcentral